RNAcentral lists this long non-coding RNA (388 nucleotides) under Capsicum annuum. RNAcentral's name for it is "long non-coding RNA (CANN_LNC008529)". Lineage: Eukaryota; Viridiplantae; Streptophyta; Magnoliopsida; Solanales; Solanaceae. The record is from RNAcentral.
UAAGACAAGCAAAAUAACACCUAAUCUAGACACAAAUUCGGCCAAACAACAACAACACUUUGGCCAAGACACCCAACCCGUAGAAUAACUUUUUUUUGUAAGAUUUUCGACCUUGGACACCUCUUCUAAUGUUAGGAAACAAAGAUCUAACACUAUAACACAUAAAAUUUACAAGAAAAUUAGGCACAGAUCUCGGCCAAAACAACAAGAAGACAUAAUUUCGGCAAAGACAACAAGAAUGGACAGAUUUGCUUCUUUUUGGAAUUUUCAGUUUUUCAACACCUUUUUUUUUAUUAUUAUUUUUUGAAUUAGAGAGCCCAAGAUUGGUAGUGUAGGAACACACCCAGCCUUAGCUCUGAUACCAAAUGAUACCAAACGGUAUCUAAAA